Molecule: small nuclear RNA, 120 nt
Organism: Impatiens glandulifera
Lineage: Eukaryota; Viridiplantae; Streptophyta; Magnoliopsida; Ericales; Balsaminaceae
Product: U5 spliceosomal RNA
Exons: 1
Source: RefSeq, a predicted model, not a curated record
CAGCUGUGUUGUGUGCACAAAGCGAACUAUUCUUUCGCCUUUUACUAAAGAAUACCGUGUGCACGCAACUAAUAACAGCAUACGCCUUAUUUUUGGAGGGUUAUCAUCAAUUGAUAGCCC